Oryza sativa Japonica Group (Japanese rice) is the source of this 1951-nucleotide long non-coding RNA. RefSeq lists it as uncharacterized. Lineage: Eukaryota; Viridiplantae; Streptophyta; Magnoliopsida; Poales; Poaceae. The record is from RefSeq and is a predicted model, not a curated record.
UUCUGUCUGUACUCCGUAGCCGUUGUUUUUCCUCAGCUCUCUUCUCGCUCUCUUUCCUUCUCUCUUUUUUUCUUUUCUCUUCAUUGUUUUCUCCGGAGAGAGAGAGAGAGAGAGAGAGAGAGUCAUCUCGCCGGUGAGUGAGAGCUGGCUUGCCGGCGCGCGCGAGAGAGAGGGCUUGCCGGCGCGCGAGAGAGAGGUAGGUCGCCGUGGUGAUUCAGCUCGCCGGAGAGUUUUCUGCUGAUUUUUCUCUCCUUGUCUCCUAUUUGUUUGCAUCAUUAGUUGAUUUUUUUUUCAAUCUUAUUCCGGCUAGGUUUUGAUGCUUCAGGUAGCUCUUAAUGUUUGGAUCUGAUGCUUGUUUAACUGUUUUAGAUUUUGGAAUCGGUAGUUUUGGUUUAGUCCCCUGAUCUGUUGAUUUCUAUGUCAUGGAACCUGAACACGCGGAGCACUUCCGUCCUGCCCUUGUUUUGAUUAGUCCCCUGAUCCGUUGAUUUCUAUGUCAUGCCGAUGAGAUUGCCUAGCUGUUGAUUUUUUAUUUUGUUAAGUUCCAGGUGAGUAGUGCUCUGAUCUGUUUAUUUAUAGGUAAAGCUACACACUAUUUGAAAUUUUCUAGGUCUGAUCUGUUUUUUAAGUACAUCUGCUUUGUGUGAUUUGGGAAUAGAAUAAAUUGUAACCACCGAACUAGCCAUCGGUGGAAACGAUGGCUGGAUUUUUUUUUUUUGGUCUUGUCACUGAGCUCGAUUUUGUGUCUGGUAGAUGGGGAUUUUUUUUUGUGUGAUUUGCAUUUUUCGGAGUAAAUUGGACAUGCUUUUGGCAGAUUUACAGGUUUGCUAGCAUCUUUUUCCCCCUCUGUUUUGUUCUGUCCUGUACAGGGGAUUUUGUUUUUUCCCUCUGUUCUUAACAUGCACGUCUCCUUCUGUGUUUGUUAACAAUAAAUUGUAAAUGUGUCCACCUUAGAAUAACAAAAGCUUUUAUCAUGUUCUUUGUUUUAUGAAACAAAGCAGUGUCAAUUAUACACCUAAAUCUUGUUUGAAUGGAUCACCUGGUUAAGUUGCAAGCACCUUUAGAGCUCCAUUCAUUGUGUCCUAUACGAUAGAACCAAUGAAGAUCCCUUCUACAAUACAAUCUUGAUUGAGCAACCCUGUGCAGGCUGCAGCAAGCUUACAUCUAAACUGUGCGUUGAUUAAAGAUAUAUGUUGUGUUCAAUUUGCAAAACAAGGUGAUGUAUGAUUUCCAUGUGCUUCUGUUACAAUUCCCUUCUGUUAUUGUUCUAUAUAAAGUUUAGAUGUACUUUCCUUCAUCAUUCAGAACAUCAGCAGCAUGCAUGCUUGCAUAUUUUUUAUUCUUUAUUAUGAAUGAACCAUUGCAAUAUUGUACUUACUUGGUAAAGAUUGAUAGUUGUAUACACUAGUUACGUGAAGCUUGCCAUUUUGCUAGCCCCACACCCAUAUACUUUCUCCUGGAAAAUUAAUACAGCAAAAGUUACAGUUGUAAAAAGUCCAUAUGCACUAUAGUUACAGUUGUAACUUUUGUAGUUUCUCACUGUAACUGAAUGUAGGUACUUAGAUUAUUUUUAUUUACUACAUGUGUCAUGACUAAUUUUUUAUAUAUAAAUUUGUGCUAGAUGAAAUUUUCUACGAAGAUCAGAUAUGAUGCAUAAUAAUAGGCAGAAGCUGAGUUUCAUGGUGGCAUUUCAAGCUCAACAUAUGAGAUGUGCUCAUUUGAUCAAAUCGGUUGUUAAAGGUAUUAGAGAAAAUAUCACUGAUUGAUACAUGUUUUCUCUGCAGUGAUUUCUGCAGUGAAAAUAUUACUGUUGAAUCUGUUUUCUACACUAGUAUAGAGUUUUUUUUGGUUUGUUUUUGUAUGGUUCCGACCAUUUGUAUUGUGUCAAAGUUUUGAAUGAUAAUUUCGUGUCUAAUUUCUAUUGGGCUCUGUGUUUUGGGCUUGUUUUUCA